This 647-nucleotide ribosomal RNA is filed under the name uncultured fungus. Its description in RNAcentral is "eukaryotic LSU rRNA". The stretch from base 241 to 394 matches the Rfam family "5.8S ribosomal RNA". The record is from RNAcentral. Lineage: Eukaryota; Fungi.
AAGGAUCAUUAUUGAAUAAACCUGAUGUGGUUGUAGCUGGCCUUCUGGCAUGUGCUCGCUCGUCAUCUUUAUCUUUCCACCUGUGCACCUUUUGUAGACUUGGAUGUAACACUUUCUGAGGAAACUCAGUCGAGAGGAUUGCUUCAUUAGCUUUCCUUGCAUGUCCAUGUCUAUGUUUUUACAUACCCCAAAGAAUGUAACAGAAUGUAUUGUUGGGCCUUGUGCCUAUAAACUAUAUACAACUUUCAGCAACGGAUCUCUUGGCUCUCGCAUCAAUGAAGAACGCAGCGAAAUGCGAUAAGUAAUGUGAAUUGCAGAAUUCAGUGAAUCAUCGAAUCUUUGAACGCACCUUGCGCUCCUUGGUAUUCCGAGGAGCAUGCCUGUUUGAGUGUCAUUAAAUUCUCAAACCAUACCAGCUUUUGUUGGUAUUGGCUUGGAUGUGGGGGUCUUUUUUGCUGGCUUUAACAAAGUCUGCUCCCCUCAAAUGCAUUAGCCGGUGCCCCGCGUGGACCUGUCUAUUGGUGUGAUAAUUAUCUACGCCGUGGAUGUCUGCUUUAAAUGGGUUGUGCUGCUUCUAAUCGUCCCUUUUGCUUGGACAAUUAUUGACAUUUGACCUCGAAUCAGGUAGGACUACCCGCUGAACUUAA